UGCUUCCCUCUUGGUCGGGGUGGUCCUCAUUUUUUCAAAAGUUAACAUGUCGCAUUCAUCUCUCUUCUAAGACUGCAGUUUUCUAUUAGAAGCAUCCAUUUACCUAAUUCUCUCUCCUACUCAUGAUCUCUUACUUUCUGCUGUCGGUUCGAUGCUGUGUCACAUACCUGGAGUGCGUCCAGGGGUUGUAGCGGUCGUGGAGGUACUUGGAGCGGUAGAAGGCAUCACCAAGACUGUUGGCCCAAUGGGUACAAGUGUUGGGCUGGGCUGGGGUAUUGUAGGAACUGUGUGCCAUUCAGUGGCAAAAGUAGAUAUUUUUGUGGGGAUGGUGGGGUUUUUUGUAGGGACAGUGGGUUUUUCAGUAGGGAUGGUGGUUUUUUCUGUGGGGAUGGUAGGCCUUCCAGUAGGGACGGUGGUCUUUUCAGUGAGGACAGUGGAUUUUUCUGUGGGGAUGGUGGUCUUUUCAGUAGGGGUGGUAGGCCUUUCAGUGGGGACAGGGGGUUUUUCUGUGGGAACUGGAGACCUUUCAGUGGGGAUGGUGGGUUUCUCUGUGGGAAGGGUAGGUUUUUCUGUGGGGAUGGUGGUCUUUUCAGUAGGGGUGGUGGGUUUUUCUGUGGGGAUGGUAGGCCUUUCAGUAAGGACGGUGGGAACGGUAGGUUUUUCUGUGGGGAUGGUGGUCUUUUCAGUAGGGGUGGUGGGUUUUUCUGUGGGGAUGGUAGGCCUUUCAGUAAGGACAGUGGGCUUUUCCGUGGGAAGGGUAGGUUUUUCUGUGUGGAUGGUGGGUUUUUCUGUGGGAAGGGUAGGUUUUUCUGUGUGGAUGGCGGAACUUUCAGUGGGGACAGUGGGUUUUUCUGUGGGCACUGUGGGCCUUUCAGUGGGGACGGUGGGUUUUUCUUUAGGAAGGGUAGAUUUUUCUGUGGGGAUGGUGGUCUUUUCAGUAGGGGUGGUGGGUUUCUCUGUGGGAAGGGUAGGUUUUUCUGUGGGGAUGGUGGGCCUUUCAGUAAGGACGGUGGGUUUUUCUGUGGGAAGGGUAGAUUUUUCUGUGGGGAUGGUGGGCCUUUCAGUGGGCAUAGUGGGUUUUUCUAUGGGGACAGUGGACCUUUCAGUGUGGAUGGUGGUCCUUUCAGUGUGGACAGUAGGUCUUUCUGUGUGGACAAUGGGCUCUUCUGUGGAGAUACUGGGCUUUUCAGGGGGUAUAGUGGACUUUUUAGUGGGGAUGGUAGGCUUUCCAGUGGGGAUGGUAGGUUUUCCAGUGGAGAUGGUGGGCUCUUUGGGAAGGACAGUGGUCUCUUCAGAGGGCACAAUGGUCUCUUCAGAGGGGACAGUGGGUUUUUUAGUGGGAAUAGUGGGCUUUUCUGUUGGGACUAUGGGCUUUACUGUGGUGACAGUGGGUUUUUCUGUGAGGGCCAUAGGUUUUAUUUGGGGUGUCAUAGGUUUUUCUGUGGGGGUCAUGGGUUUUCCUGUGAGGGCCAUGGGUUUUUCUGUGAGGACAGUGGAUAUUUCACUGGGGACAGUGGGUUUUUCUGUGGUGGCCAUAGGUUUUUCUUUGGGGACUGUAGGUUUUUCUGUGGGAGUCCUAGGUUUUUCUGUGGAGACAAGGGUUUCAGAAGGGCCAGUGGGGGGAACUGGAGAUUUGGAAGGAAGCACUGUUGGCAUAGUUCCUGCAAAGAAAAAACAAACAAACAAACAAACAAACAAACCCUGGAGUUUAGUCGAAACCAGACCACCACCCUCUUCACUCACUUCCAAUUGGAGUGGGUGGCCUCAAAGGGUAAUUUAUUCACACCUCUCCUUCUACUCCCAACCCCAACCUUCACUCAACAAACUCUCAACAAGCACUGCUCCUAAUAAAUAUCAGACGUCAUGCCAGAUACAAACGACACAACAUGAAUAGGAUGUGGGUCCUCCCUUCAGGAUCGCCAUCUACUGGGUAAGGAAUUCUGGAUCUAGCCACAGAAAUUCACUGCAUCAAAGUCACAUGCGCACACGCAAGCAUCCUGAUGCCACCGAGAAGGCAGAAUGUAGAACACAAAGCAGUGUGAAAAUACAAGCACAGGAGAGAACUUGAUUUUCAGCCAUCUGACAGAUGGUCAUCCCAGAGCACCGCCCCCUUUCCGGGGCCUUGAGUUUUGUUUUACCUCUACAAGUCCCGUGAUUGAUCAAGAUAAAACCCACAGCGACAACAAAGGCAGUGUUGGUCCCUCUGAUGGCCUCCAAUAUCAGCUGAAGGGAAUGAAGGACAGAGAAGAGAGAAGUCCAACUGAAUCCAUGGCACCUCAAGGAUUCUCCCAGACAGCCUGUCCUCUGCCAAAAGGUCACCUUGUUCUAGGCUCAACAGUCCAAUUCUGCCCUCACUCCUUUUCAGGAUGCAGAUAUCCCUCUCAGGGACACUGAGUUCACCUCUGCUCUGCCCCCUUUCCAGCGUCCCAUCUCCUCAGCCCUGAUUGUCCCCGGGUACUAUGUCCCCCUCACCGGGCCCCACACAGGGCCCACUCUGUCUCUCACCUGCAUGGGCUGUUGAUGCCCCGAAGGGAUAGUGACGGAGGUGUUCAGCCAGUCGGGGCUCUGAGACCCAACGCGGUGCCAGAGAGAAGUCGGGAAACUGCCUGCGGGACUCUCCAGCAGGAGACUGAGUUUAGCGCCCUCUCCUAGGCCGUACAUGUGGUAAGCAAACUCCACACAGAUCGCACUCGGGGCACAGAAGGGCCGGCUCACCAGUCUGCAAGACUGGCCUGCCUCAGAGAACUUGUCAGCCUCGAAAUAGAUAUAGCGACCUUCUGGGCAAAAGAAGGGAAUCAAAAGAAGGGCAAGAUGACAACCCCCACCCCCACCCUGAGGACACUCUCGUGUUGUUUUCCCUAGCGACACCUUGCAAACGAGGGUUUGACGCGAACACCCAAACUCCCCACGCUGUAAGCGGGUUUUUUUUUUUCCUACUUGUUUUGGACUUCUAACUGAAGAAGGUAGGAUCAGAAAGAAAGGGAAAACCAAACGAGCAACCCAGAUUCCUUUGCUGGCUGCACCAGUAAAUGUCUUAACUGAAAAUGAGAUUGUGGAUUUUGAAGGCUCGGGCUCAGUGAAGUGAGUUGCCUGGAUUUUCUGGCGGUUUCAGUGACCCCACAGGCAGGAGAAUCUUCAACCCGUUCGAUUUCUGUCAUCUCCCCAGCUCGGACCCAUGGUGGCUUCCCAAUAAACACCUGCCAGCUGACCGUCGCCACCUACAAUAUCUUCUCCCAGGAAUCAUACCAGCCAACUCCCCAGUAAUCCGUUGGCUACGGGAUUGGGAGAUCCUCAAUCUCCUCACCUCCAUUAAGGGAACCUCCAAAAGCGCCUGUACCCUGGAUGUGCAUAUUUUUACUUCCCCGGGUCCAUUGUCCACCGUCCUCUGAUGCCUGGGCCCAGUCACAGAAGGGAUGGGCAUCAUCGUCAAAGUCACACUGAGGAAAGCUCUCUAGGGGAUCAAAAUGGGAGAUGUGAGAAAUUUGGGCCAUGCCCUCUAUUUCUCCCCAAUCUUACCCCCCCCCCCCCCCCCCACCCCCACCGCCCGUUUUGAUGAUCUGGUGGAGGCCCUGCUCCUCCCAGGGCCUUGCUCUCACCCCCACAGGGAGCAAUGCUGAUCGCAUCCACUGCCACAGCAGGCUCUGGGGUCUCUCCAAACACACCCACCACAGUGAACUGAAGAGAGAGAGAGAGAGAGAGAAAGGGGACUGGGAGUGAAAAAAGAGCCCAGAUGCCCAAACCACCCCCCCACCAUCUAAUUUUACUCUAUUCAGGAACCCAGACACCCUACUCCCAGCGCCCAGACCCUCACUCCACUUCAAUAUCAGAAGUGCCUACCCUGUGCAAGGGGUCCUGACCUUUGCUCCUCUGUACCUGAAUUUGUCCCUGGGCUGUGUAAUUGACAGUAACAGGCUGCCAAUUGGGUCCAGGUUGUCCUGAGAAGAGAGUGUGUUUCCUGAUGCUGCCUGCAAAUGAAAGGAAUCAGAGAGAGAAUUGCCUUAUUAAGGGGACUGAAAAUGACCUCAAACCUGUACUCAGGGGGCGCCUGGGUAGCUCCGUGGGUUCAGCGUCUGACUUUGGCUCAGGUCAUGAUCUCACGGUCUGUGAGCUCGAGCCUCACGUCGAGCUCUGUGCUGACAGCUCAGAGCCCGGAGCCUGCUUCACAUUCUGUGUCUCCCUCUUUCUCUGUCCCUCCCUUGCUCACGCUCUGUCUCUCUCUCUGUCUCUCAAAAAUAAACAAUUUUUAAAUUAGGAAAAAAAAUCCCAUACUCAGAAAGAGGAGUAGCUAAGGGAAUACUGGGAGUGUAUCCCCUUCUCCCAAAUGCAAGCACAUCCUUCUCUCUCACUCUCCUGGUACUUUUAUCUGUUUUUCUAGAAGCCAGCACUCUCCCAGCUCCCCAAUUCUACGCCACACAAUAAUCUUGCAUAUAUCCUAGAUUUCCCUAGAAAUAUGGGAUGCCCCAUAUUUUCCUGUCAACUCAACCCUGGGAGACGAGAUAAGCAUAAAUCCUGCAAAUGCCAGUCUCACCCAAGACAGAAGCAUAGAUGGCGAGGGCUGCACCAGGUGACUGGCCAUAGAGGAUGUAGUGGAAGAACAGGCUCAAACAGCCAGAGG
Molecule: long non-coding RNA, 4615 nt
Organism: Panthera leo (lion)
Lineage: Eukaryota; Metazoa; Chordata; Mammalia; Carnivora; Felidae
Source: Ensembl